GGAGAGAUGGCUCAGUGGUUAAGAGCACUGGGUGAUCUUCCAGAGGGCCUGGGCUCAAUUCCCAGCACCC
Molecule: non-coding RNA, 70 nt
Organism: Mus musculus (house mouse)
Lineage: Eukaryota; Metazoa; Chordata; Mammalia; Rodentia; Muridae
Source: Rfam